Molecule: ribosomal RNA, 255 nt
Filed under: uncultured bacterium
Lineage: Bacteria
Description: partial 16S ribosomal RNA
Rfam family: Bacterial small subunit ribosomal RNA
Source: RNAcentral
UACGGAGGGGGUUAGCGUUGUUCGGAAUUACUGGGCGUAAAGCGUACGUAGGCGGAUCAGAAAAGUUGGGGGGUGAAAUCCCGGGGCUCAACCCCGGAACUGCCUCCAAAACUCCUGGUCUUGAGUUCGAGAGAGGUGAGUGGAAUUCCAAGUGUAGAGGUGAAAUUCGUAGAUAUUUGGAGGAACACCAGUGGCGAAGGCGGCUCACUGGCUCGAUACUGACGCGUGAGGUGACGAAAGGUGUGGGAGCAAACA